Molecule: ribosomal RNA, 253 nt
Filed under: uncultured bacterium
Lineage: Bacteria
Description: partial 16S ribosomal RNA
Rfam family: Bacterial small subunit ribosomal RNA
Source: RNAcentral
UACGUAGGGUGCGAGCGUUAAUCGGAAUUACUGGGCGUAAAGCGUGCGCAGGCGGCUUUGCAAGACAGAUGUGAAAUCCCCGGGCUCAACCUGGGAACUGCUUUCAAAACUGCUGAGCUAGAGUACGGUAGAGGGUGGUGGAAUUUCCUGUGUAGCGGUGAAAUGCGUAGAUAUAGGAAGGAACACCAGUGGCGAAGGCAAUCCCCUGGGCCUGUACUGACGCUCAUGCACGAAAGCGUGGGGAGCAAACAGG